GUGCUUGCUUUGGCAAGCACAUAAACUAAAAUUGGAAUAACAUAGUGAAGAUCAGCAUGGCCCUGGCACAAGGAUGACACGCAAAUUCGUGAAGCAUUAAAAAAAAAA
Molecule: small nuclear RNA, 108 nt
Organism: Ursus maritimus (polar bear)
Lineage: Eukaryota; Metazoa; Chordata; Mammalia; Carnivora; Ursidae
Source: Ensembl